Molecule: ribosomal RNA, 253 nt
Filed under: uncultured bacterium
Lineage: Bacteria
Description: partial 16S ribosomal RNA
Rfam family: Bacterial small subunit ribosomal RNA
Source: RNAcentral
UACGUAGGGGGCAAGCGUUGUCCGGAAUCAUUGGGCGUAAAGCGCGUGUAGGCGGCUUGGUAAGUCUGCUCUGAAAGCCCGGGGCUCAACCCCGGGAGGCGGGUGGAUACUGCUGAGCUCGAGUCCGGAAGAGGCGAGUGGAAUUCCUGGUGUAGCGGUGAAAUGCGCAGAUAUCAGGAGGAACACCAAUGGCGAAGGCAGCUCGCUGGGACGUGACUGACGCUGAGACGCGAAAGCGUGGGGAGCAAACAGG